Molecule: long non-coding RNA, 492 nt
Organism: Physella acuta
Lineage: Eukaryota; Metazoa; Mollusca; Gastropoda; Physidae
Source: RefSeq, a predicted model, not a curated record
CUUCACAACAACAGAAACCAAAAACAAUGAGAGGUUUCAAUCACAUUUUUGGCUGUUGCAAACGAAUCAACUCCAUGAUGGUUUUUGUGUAAUUAAAAUUGAUUGGUUCAUUAAAUCAGCUUCGAUCAAGUUUGAUUUUUCGCAGACACGAAACAAUACCUAUCUAUGGGCUUGGCGUACAAAACGUGACUGUAUUCUUAGUGGCAUCGUUCGGUAGAAUUCACCGCACCAAGGGAAAUAACUGGAUACACUCUAGACAGGGAGAGUUGAGUCCCUUGAUGUGAGCUAUUGGUGAGACGAGACACGAUGAACAACUCAAGCUUCAUACUCAGCAACUCUACUGUCAUAGAGAGGGUUCACAACAUCCCCCUCUACGUCAUGCUGUCUAUUUUUAGCGUGGUCGGGGUAAUCGGGAAUGCCCUGGCUUUUUACAUCUUCUUCCGCCGGCGGUCCACGUCGACUUCUGUUAUCUUCAUCCUGGCUUUAGCAGGU